Molecule: long non-coding RNA, 1037 nt
Filed under: Zea mays
Lineage: Eukaryota; Viridiplantae; Streptophyta; Magnoliopsida; Poales; Poaceae
Description: long non-coding RNA (ZMAY_LNC001501)
Source: RNAcentral
GAAAACGUGCAUAUUUAAAGUAGGAUAAAUAUUGUAUAAGGGCAGGACUAUGGGCGCGGACUACAAAUCAACGGGCAGAGUGCCUAGGUCCCCACGAACAUAAUCUCAAGUGAGUCAGAAAAGACAACAUGAGAAAAAUAAAAACUAAUUUUAUUCAGCAGCGACAUCACAACUCAGUGAGCACUGCACACGACGCCAUCUACAAACAACCGGUUCAUGACACGGCUGGCCGCCUUAUCAUAGCCCUCCAGGAGGUCCAUCAGUCCCCUCAUCUGACAAGGACGAGGGGGGCGAUGAUGUCCCGAAGAGUGCGGCCCCACCGAAGCUCCCUCGACGAGUAGUGCCACAGCAGCCCCUCGAUGUACGUCAAAGUCAACAAUAUCCCGAACGCAGCACAUGACACUGUCUAGGCACUCCAUCAAGGACGAAUCACAGGCCUUGACGUACUCUGCAACCUAACCCACCUGAUGGCGCAACUUCUCUAGCUCAGCUUCCAGAGCAAAAGGAAAGGAAGACAUGAAAGGGGUCAAAACGCAAGGGGGAUAGAAAGGUUAUAAUGUAGGAACCUAUCAGCCAUGCGACAAUCGGAUUCAGCGAGCUGAGCUCGAAUCACUCUAGCCUCAGUCUCACUGGCCUCUUGCACCGAGCGAAAAGGUGUCAUGACUCUCCUGGGAUUCCCAAGGGAGGGGAAGAGGAGCCAGCGGGCCUGGCCACAACGACUCCAUGGAGGGUGAUGCCUCUCGGACGAUGGAAGCAAGGGCACCCUACAACAAGGAAGGCAUGCGCCCGAAUCACCGAGAGAGAGAUAGUAAAGGGUGAUACUCGGACGAGGAAGAGUCUCACCCUAAUCCAACGUAGCACGACUCCCUCCCGACUCGUGAUCCGCCAAUCAACUCGCCAUCAAAACCCAUUCGAGGUGCGAAAUGGAAAGCAAGCAAUUAUGGGAUGUUUACAAGUGGGCGCUCACCCUCACUUAUAACGAGAAACAUAACGACCGCCUCAGAGGAAUCCUAAAUUAGGACAUACCGUCUCCUGAG